This 445-nucleotide ribosomal RNA is filed under the name uncultured bacterium. Its description in RNAcentral is "bacterial SSU rRNA". It matches the Rfam family "Bacterial small subunit ribosomal RNA", at positions 355 to 823 of the family's 1533-position model. The record is from RNAcentral.
UAACGAAUCUUCCGCAAUGCACGAAAGUGUGACGGAGCGACGCCGCGUGGAGGACGAAGUUCUUCGGAAUGUAAACUCCUGUCAGGGGAAAGAAAGUUCUGAUCUACCCCAGAGGAAGAGGCGGCUAACUCUGUGCCAGCAGCCGCGGUAAUACAGAGGCCUCGAGCGUUAGACGGAAUCACUGGGCUUAAAGCGUGUGUAGGCGGAAGGGUAAGUACCUUGUGAAAUCCCACGGCUUAACCGUGGAACGGCUUGGUAUACUGCUUUUCUUGAGCAAUCUAGGGGCGAGUGGAACAGAUGGUGGAGCGGUGAAAUGCGUAGAUAUCAUCUGGAACGCCAAUGGUGAAGACAACUCGCUGGGGAUUUGCUGACGCUGAGACACGAAAGCCAGGGGAGCGAACGGGAUUAGAUACCCCCGUAGUCCCUGAGCGGGCUGGCAAGGCGC